UACAGAGGGGGCAAGCGUUGUUCGGAAUUAUUGGGCGUAAAGGGUGCGUAGGCGGUGCGGUAAGUCUUCUGUGAAAUCUACGGGCUUAACUCAUAGUCUGCAGGAGAAACUGCCGUGCUUGAGUAUGGGAGAGGUGAGUGGAAUUCCUGGUGUAGCGGUGAAAUGCGUAGAUAUCAGGAGGAACACCUGUGGCGAAGGCGGCCAUCUGGACCGGCACUGACGCUGAGGCGCGAAAGCGUGGGGAGCAAACAGG
RNAcentral lists this ribosomal RNA (253 nucleotides) under uncultured bacterium. RNAcentral describes it as "partial 16S ribosomal RNA". It matches the Rfam family "Bacterial small subunit ribosomal RNA", at positions 524 to 776 of the family's 1533-position model. The record is from RNAcentral.